This 460-nucleotide ribosomal RNA is filed under the name uncultured bacterium. RNAcentral's name for it is "partial 16S ribosomal RNA". It matches the Rfam family "Bacterial small subunit ribosomal RNA", at positions 338 to 795 of the family's 1533-position model. The record is from RNAcentral.
CCUACGGGAGGCAGCAGUGAGGAAUAUUGGUCAAUGGACGAGGGUCUGAACCAGCCAAGUAGCGUGAAGGAUGACGGCCCUAUGGGUUGUAAACUUCUUUUAUAUGGGAAUAAAACAGGGAAUGCAUACCCUCUUGUGUGUACCAUAUGAAUAAGGAUCGGCUAACUCCGUGCCAGCAGCCGCGGUAAUACGGAGGAUCCGAGCGUUAUCCGGAUUUAUUGGGUUUAAAGGGAGCGUAGGCGGAUUGUUAAGUCAGUUGUGAAAGUUUGCGGCUCAACCGUAAAAUUGCAGUUGAAACUGGCAGUCUUGAGUACAGUAGAGGUGUGCGGAAUGCGUGGUGUAGCGGUGAAAUGCUUAGAUAUCACGAAGAACUCCGAUUGCGAAGGCAGCUCACUGGACUGCAACUGACACUGAUGCUCGAAAGUGUGGGUAUCGAACAGGAUUAGAUACCCUAGUAGUC